UGCCCCAGGAAUGGGCAAAGAGACCCCAUUUUGGUGGUGAUGUUCUUAGCUCAGUCAAGGGCAGAGGAGAUGGCAGUUCUUUGUCCAUCCUAGCUUGAUGCCUGGCUUGAUGGAUAAAGCUGUCUUAGGCAUAGGACUCAUAA
Meriones unguiculatus (Mongolian gerbil) is the source of this 143-nucleotide small nucleolar RNA. RefSeq annotates it as small nucleolar RNA SNORA48. Lineage: Eukaryota; Metazoa; Chordata; Mammalia; Rodentia; Muridae. The transcript has a single exon. The record is from RefSeq and is a predicted model, not a curated record.